RNAcentral lists this ribosomal RNA (496 nucleotides) under uncultured bacterium. RNAcentral's name for it is "partial 16S ribosomal RNA". It matches the Rfam family "Bacterial small subunit ribosomal RNA", at positions 29 to 507 of the family's 1533-position model. The record is from RNAcentral.
AUGCACGCUGGCGGCGUGCCUCAUCCCUGCAAGUCGAGCGCACGGACGAGAAGCUUGCUUCUCUGAUGUUAGCGGCGGACGGGUGAGUAACACGUGGAUAACCUACCUAUAAGACUGGGAUAACUUCGGGAAACCGGAGCUAAUACCGGAUGAUAUUUUGAACCGCAUGGUUCAAAAGUGAAAGACGGUCUUGCUGUCACUUAUAGAUGGAUCCGCGCUGCAUUAGCUAGUUGGUAAGGUAAUGGCUUACCAAGGCAACGAUGCAUAGCCGACCUGAGAGGGUGAUCGGCCACACUCGAACUGAGACACGGUCCAGACUCCUACGGGAGGCAGCAGUAGGGAAUCUUCCGCAAUGGGCGAAAGCCUGACGGAGCAACGCCGCGUGAGUGAUGAAGGUCUUCGGAUCGUAAAACUCUGUUAUUAGGGAAGAACAUAUGUGUAAGUAACUGUGCACAUCUUGACGGUACCUAAUCAGAAAGCCACGGCUAACUACGUG